AGGGAUCAUUACACAAUAACAAGGCGGGCUGGACACCCCCCGCUGGGCACUGCUUCACGGCGUGCGCGGCGGGGCCGGCCCUGCUGAAUUAUUCACCCGUGUCUUUUGCGUACUUCUUGUUUCCUGGGUGGGCUCGCCCGCCCUCAGGACCAACCACAAACCUUUUGCAAUAGCAAUCAGCGUCAGUAACAACGUAAUUAAUUACAACUUUCAACAACGGAUCUCUUGGUUCUGGCAUCGAUGAAGAACGCAGCGAAAUGCGAUACGUAGUGUGAAUUGCAGAAUUCAGUGAAUCAUCGAAUCUUUGAACGCACAUUGCGCCCUUUGGUAUUCCAAAGGGCAUGCCUGUUCGAGCGUCAUUUGUACCCUCAAGCUUUGCUUGGUGUUGGGCGUCUUUUGUCUCCAGUUCGCUGGAGACUCGCCUUAAAGUCAUUGGCAGCCGGCCUACUGGUUUCGGAGCGCAGCACAAGUCGCGCUCUUCGCCAGCCAAGGUCAGCGUCCAGCAAGCCUUUUUUUCAACCUUUGACCUCGGAUCAGGUAGGGAUACCCGCUGAACUUAA
RNAcentral lists this non-coding RNA (560 nucleotides) under uncultured Ascomycota. Its description in RNAcentral is "sequence contains ITS1, 5.8S rRNA gene and ITS2". The stretch from base 206 to 359 matches the Rfam family "5.8S ribosomal RNA". Lineage: Eukaryota; Fungi; Ascomycota. RNAcentral also lists the same sequence under 1 other name. The record is from RNAcentral.